GCGAGAGUGGUGGAACUGGUAGACACGCAAGAUUUAGGAUCUUGUGCCGCAAGGUGUGGGGGUUCGAGUCCCCCUUCUCGCACCA
RNAcentral lists this transfer RNA (85 nucleotides) under SAR324 cluster bacterium. RNAcentral's name for it is "tRNA-Leu". It matches the Rfam family "tRNA". From Rfam's summary of the family: Transfer RNA (tRNA) molecules are approximately 80 nucleotides in length. Their secondary structure includes four short double-helical elements and three loops (D, anti-codon, and T loops). RNAcentral also lists the same sequence under 1 other name. The record is from RNAcentral. Lineage: Bacteria; Deltaproteobacteria.